Molecule: small nucleolar RNA, 94 nt
Filed under: Aotus nancymaae (Ma's night monkey)
Lineage: Eukaryota; Metazoa; Chordata; Mammalia; Primates; Aotidae
Description: Small nucleolar RNA SNORD113/SNORD114 family (ENSANAG00000019574.1)
Rfam family: Small nucleolar RNA SNORD113/SNORD114 family (bases 1-67)
About the family: The imprinted human domain at 14q32 contains two clusters of tandemly repeated small nucleolar RNAs named 14q(I) and 14q(II) snoRNAs. These two clusters are named SNORD113 and SNORD114 respectively in the HGNC approved gene symbol nomenclature.
Source: RNAcentral
AUGGUCAGUGGUGACCACUGGUGGCAUAUAAGUCAUGGAUGAUGAAUAUGAGAAGAAAAGAAUCUAGGUUUUGCUUCUAUUGGAAAUGAUCCUG